AUGCUCUAUAACAGAAGAACCCUAAAAGAAAUAACUGAAAUUACAUAUGAAUAUGAAAAACAGGAAAAGUUCUAUACUGCAGAAGCAAUGAUUAAGUCAAUUGAUACAUCAGAUGAGUGGUACUACAUGGAAUGCCGCAAAUGCAACAAAAAAGUACAAAAACAAGGGAACCACUUCUACUGUCCAAAAUGUGUAAAAGAACCUGAGAAGACAUGUCCAAGGUACAAACUUAAGCUAGAGAUAUGUGAUCUGAGUGCAACAACAACUUGCACCAUGUUUGAGGCAGAAGCAAAAAAAUUGAUUAAGCAAUCUGCAAGGUUUUUGAUAGAUAGGGACGAUUGCGAUAUUCAUGAGCAGACAAAACAAAUCCAGAAAAUAUGUGGGCAGAGAUUGAUUUUUCAAUUCAAAUUGAAUGACUACAAUUUGAAGUACGGUUAUCAAGAAUACACUGUUUGUAGAAUCUUUUUCAUAGAUUCUGAAAAAGAUCCAUCAGUACAUCAUUCAAAUGUUGAGCAGGAGCAACCAGACAAGCUGUCAGUUAUGAAAACUAUAAAGCAAGAACCGGAGGAUGAUGAACCCACUAGUAACCGGACUAAAAGGGGUAGGAUGAGCAGCAGAGGUCGUGUUUUUCACCUUGAUGGAGAGCCAAAAACUAAAGGUAGUCAAGAAAUAAUCAAAUCAAAAUAUAUGGAAGCAGGCCCCAAGAGAAAGCGCGCCGUAACUCGCAAAUGUGCUGGUAUUGAUACCAAACAAGUAAACAAUCACCAUGAAGAAGAAUCAGAACAGGAAGGUACUCAGCAGCACAAUAAUUCAAGGCCUAGGACAAGGCGUAGUUGUGUUGCUAAAGAACUGAUGGACAAAGGCAUUCAGAAGUGUGGUGUAUCAAGAACUCGAAAGACAUAG
RNAcentral lists this ribosomal RNA (903 nucleotides) under Triticum aestivum (bread wheat). Its description in RNAcentral is "partial small subunit ribosomal RNA". The record is from RNAcentral. Lineage: Eukaryota; Viridiplantae; Streptophyta; Magnoliopsida; Poales; Poaceae.